RNAcentral lists this unclassified non-coding RNA (563 nucleotides) under Hevea brasiliensis (rubber tree). The record is from RNAcentral. Lineage: Eukaryota; Viridiplantae; Streptophyta; Magnoliopsida; Malpighiales; Euphorbiaceae.
CGGAAUUACCAGAAGUUAUUUGAUUAUAUCAACUCUAAUCCUAGUUUAAAUGCAGAGGUAAAAUUUGGUACUCUGGAAGAAUACUUCCAAACUGUUCAUGAGGAGGCUGAUAGAAUAAAUUAUUCACGUCCUGGCGAGGCUGGGUCUGGUCAGAUUGGAGGUUUUCCAUCUCUAUCUGGUGACUUCUUUACUUAUUGCUGAUAGGCAACAAGACUACUGGAGUGGCUAUUAUGUUUCAAGGCCUUUCUUCAAGGCUGUUGAUCGGGUACUAGAGGAAACUCUUCGUGCUACUGAAAUGAUGAUGGCUUUGUUACUUGGUUAUUGUCAGAGAGCACAAUGUGAAAAGUUGGCCACAGGAUUUGGCUAUAAGUUGACUGCUGCCAGGAGGAAUUUAGCUCUUUUUCAACACCAUGAUGGGGUGACUGGUACUGCUAAGGAUCAUGUUGUUCGCGACUACGGAAUUCGGAUGCAUACUUCAUUGCAUGACUUGCAGAUUUUCAUGUCUAAAGCUAUUGAAGUACUUCUUGGUAUCCACCAUGAAAAAUCUGAUCAUAACCCAUCCC